CGUCAGUAUCCGCCAAGGCACAAUUCAGACAAGUGUCAAUUGUGUCUCUCGCAGCCAAAUACAAUGGAUUUGAUGUUGAAGUGGCUCGGGAAACCAAGAUGCCUCGUUAUAUGUCUGUUCCUCGUCUUGGUUGCAAUUGUAAUAAUGCACAAACACAAAAGAGUCAUAAUAAAGAUCAAGAAUCAGUACAUAUACAAUGAUACCGAAUAUUAUAACGCUGCUGAAAUGAA
Molecule: non-coding RNA, 230 nt
Organism: Penaeus vannamei (Pacific white shrimp)
Lineage: Eukaryota; Metazoa; Arthropoda; Malacostraca; Decapoda; Penaeidae
Source: RefSeq, a predicted model, not a curated record